This is a long non-coding RNA of Zonotrichia leucophrys gambelii, 351 nucleotides long. RefSeq lists it as uncharacterized. NCBI's taxonomy places the organism in Eukaryota, Metazoa, Chordata, Aves, Passeriformes, Passerellidae. The record is from RefSeq and is a predicted model, not a curated record. The transcript is spliced from 5 exons.
GCUGACCUGAGCAUAGAAACAGGAUUUGAGUAGAGAGCUCCAUGAGCUCCAUAGCCUGCUGUGGUGCCUCCAGGUUUCCUUCUGUCUAAUAAGGACAUUUCAAGCAGACUUUUCGGGGAAGCUCAGCAUACUCCUCUGGAGAGCUACAAGGUAGAGCAGUGAUCCAAAGAGAACAGCUGUGCCCCAGCAGUGAGAGCUGUCCAUUGGAAGGGCUGUCAUUUGCAGCAGUAGGGUAGAGAAGCAAGAAUGACUUACAAAAGUUAAUAUCUCUGCCCAGGACACAGCAGGAACAAGCAAAGUUAAGAAACAGAAACUUUUAAAUUCAGAAAAUAUGGAAUUUAUACAUUCAGC